AAGAAAGUAAUGAAGGGCGUAUGGGGAAUGCCUAGGCUCUUGGAGGCGACGAAGGACGUGGUAAGCUGCGAAAAGCUCCGGGGAUUUGCAAACAAGAAU
Molecule: ribosomal RNA, 99 nt
Organism: Alistipes sp. An31A
Lineage: Bacteria; Pseudomonadati; Bacteroidota; Bacteroidia; Bacteroidales; Rikenellaceae
Rfam family: Bacterial large subunit ribosomal RNA
Source: Rfam